CCGAAACUUUUAUGUUUUCGAAUCGUUUUCUAUUACUCGUUCAGUCGUCCGAAAUUUCUACUAGUAUUUCCGAAUGGUCAAUAUCGUAUGUUAGAUAGGUACGAAAUGAAAACUAUAAUCCGCGCAACGAAUUGUAUUACACCCGUACGUUAAAAACGUAUAUUUCAUCAGAAUGCGGAAUACGGAUUUCUCGCGUAUACGAGAACUUAAACAGCCAUACGGCUGUAGCGCUGCAUUAUAUUAUUGUGCGCA
This is a non-coding RNA of Cinara cedri, 252 nucleotides long. The record is from the annotation of a GenBank genome assembly. NCBI's taxonomy places the organism in Eukaryota, Metazoa, Arthropoda, Insecta, Hemiptera, Aphididae.